This 685-nucleotide ribosomal RNA is filed under the name uncultured bacterium. RNAcentral describes it as "bacterial SSU rRNA". It matches the Rfam family "Bacterial small subunit ribosomal RNA", at positions 8 to 704 of the family's 1533-position model. The record is from RNAcentral.
AGAGUUUGAUCCUGGCUCAGAAUGAACGUUGGCGGCGUGGAUUAGGCAUGCAAGUCGUGCGAGAAUCUUCCUUCGGGAAGUGGACAGCGGCGAAAGGGAGAGUAAUACGUAGAAAUCCACCUUCAAGCCCGGGAUAGCGUCGGGAAACUGGCGGUAAUACCGGAUAAUAUCUCCGGAUCAAAGGUGUGAUUCCGCUUGAAGAUGAGUCUACGUCCUAUUAGCUAGUUGGCGGGGUAAUGGCCCACCAAGGCAACGAUGGGUAGCGGGUGUGAGAGCAUGAUCCGCCUCACUGGGACUGAGACACUGCCCAGACACCUACGGGUGGCUGCAGUCGAGAAUCUUUGUCAAUGGACGAAAGUCUGAACAAGCGACGCCGCGUGCGGGAUGAAGGCCUUCGGGUUGUAAACCGCUGUCGUAGGGGAACAAAUGUAUGGGGGUUCUCUCCUUUACUUGAGUGAUCCUAGGAGGAAGGACGGGCUAAGUUCGUGCCAGCAGCCGCGGUAAGACGAACCGUCCAAACGUUAUUCGGUAUCACUGGGCUUAAAGAGUUCGUAGGCGGCCAUGCAGGUCAGGUGUGAAAUCCCACAGCUCAACUGUGGAACUGCGCUUGAAACCGCAUGGCUUGAGGGAGAUAGAGGUGAGCGGAACAGAUGGUGGAGCGGUGAAAUGCGUUGAUAUCAUCUGG